RNAcentral lists this ribosomal RNA (292 nucleotides) under uncultured bacterium. RNAcentral describes it as "partial 16S ribosomal RNA". It matches the Rfam family "Bacterial small subunit ribosomal RNA", at positions 505 to 796 of the family's 1533-position model. The record is from RNAcentral.
GUGCCAGCAGCCGCGGUAAUACAGAGGUCCCAAGCGUUGUUCGGAUUCACUGGGCGUAAAGGGUGCGUAGGCGGUUGGAUAAGUCUGACGUGAAAUCUUCGAGCUCAACUCGGAAACUGCAUCGGAAACUAUCCAGCUAGAGGAUUGGAGGGGAGACUGGAAUUCUCGGUGUAGCAGUGAAAUGCGUAGAUAUCGAGAGGAACACCAGUGGCGAAGGCGAGUCUCUGGACAAUUCCUGACGCUGAGGCACGAAAGCUAGGGGAGCAAACAGGAUUAGAAACCCCGGUAGUCC